This 465-nucleotide ribosomal RNA is filed under the name uncultured bacterium. Its description in RNAcentral is "partial 16S ribosomal RNA". It matches the Rfam family "Bacterial small subunit ribosomal RNA", at positions 28 to 507 of the family's 1533-position model. The record is from RNAcentral.
GACGAACGCUGGCGGCGUGCUUAACACAUGCAAGUCGAACGGAAAGGCCCCUUUGGGGGUACUCGAGUGGCGCACGGGUGAGUAACACGUGAGUAACCUGCCCUUGACUUCGGGAUAACUUCAGGAAACUGGGGCUAAUACCGGAUAGGAAUCCUUGCUGCAUGGUGGGGGUUGGAAAGCUUCGGCGGUUUUGGAUGGACUCGCGGCUUAUCAGCUUGUUGGUGGGGUAGUGGCUUACCAAGGCUUUGACGGGUAGCCGGCCUGAGAGGGCGACCGGCCACAUUGGGACUGAGAUACGGCCCAGACUCCUACGGGAGGCAGAAGUGGGGAAUAUUGAACAAUGGGCGGAAGCCUGAUGCAGCAACGCCGCGUGCGGGAUGACGGCCUUCGGGUUGUAAACCGCUUUCAGCAGGGGCGAAGCUUGUGGUGACGGUACCUGCAGAAGAAGCACCGGCUAACUACGUG